This 253-nucleotide ribosomal RNA is filed under the name uncultured bacterium. RNAcentral's name for it is "partial 16S ribosomal RNA". It matches the Rfam family "Bacterial small subunit ribosomal RNA", at positions 524 to 776 of the family's 1533-position model. The record is from RNAcentral.
GACGUAGGUCGCGAACGUUAUCCGGAAUUAUUGGGCGUAAAGAGCUCGUAGGCGGUUUGUCGCGUCGGCCGUGAAAUCUCCACGCUUAACGUGGAGCGUGCGGUCGAUACGGGCAGACUUGAGUUCGGUAGGGGAGACUGGAAUUCCUGGUGUAGCGGUGAAAUGCGCAGAUAUCAGGAGGAACACCGGUGGCGAAGGCGGGUCUCUGGGCCGAUACUGACGCUGAGGAGCGAAAGCGUGGGGAGCGAACAGG